GUUCUCACUUCAACAGCAUUUACACUAAAAUUGAACCAAUAUAAAGAUUAGCAUGGCCCCUGUGCAGGAAUGACAUGCAAAUUCACCUUCCAUUGUUUCUUUUA
RNAcentral lists this small nuclear RNA (104 nucleotides) under Catagonus wagneri (Chacoan peccary). Lineage: Eukaryota; Metazoa; Chordata; Mammalia; Artiodactyla; Tayassuidae. The record is from RNAcentral.